This 108-nucleotide non-coding RNA is filed under the name Palpitomonas bilix. The record is from RNAcentral.
GGUGUGGAAAUUGCUUCUGGGAGAUGUCGCCUCUGUCCACAUGACGUCCUUUAUGGAGACGACGCUGGUGUCUGGCAUGCGGCCUCUUGUGAGGUGUCUCGACACCAU